AAAUAAGUAUGAAACAUUUUAAAAUUUCUAAUUUAAAAAAUUUAUGGUUAAAAUCCAUUUUUAUUUU
RNAcentral lists this transfer RNA (67 nucleotides) under Spathius agrili (emerald ash borer parasitic wasp). RNAcentral's name for it is "tRNA-Ser". Lineage: Eukaryota; Metazoa; Arthropoda; Insecta; Hymenoptera; Braconidae. The record is from RNAcentral.